GACACAGGGAGGUAGUGACAAGAAAUAACAAUACAGGGCUACUGUCUUGUAAUUGGAAUGAUGGCGACCCAAACCCUCGCCAGAGUACCAAUUGGAGGGCAAGUCUGGUGCCAGCAGCCGCGGUAAUUCCAGCUCCAAUAGCGUAUAUUAAACUUGUUGCAGUUAAAAAGCUCGUAGUUGAACUUCGGCCUUGCGCGUCCUGCGGGUCUGCGCGCGGCCUUUGCGUUACUUUGAGAAAAUUAGAGUGUUUCAAGCAGGCUUUCGCCGUGAAUACUUGAGCAUGGAAUAACUGGGCAGGACCUUGGUUCUUCUUUGUUGGUUUUGUACCUGGGUAAUGGUUAAUAGGAACGGUUGGGGGCAUUCGUAUUUAACUGUCAGAGGUGAAAUUCUUAG
This 393-nucleotide ribosomal RNA is filed under the name Babesia ovis. Its description in RNAcentral is "SSU rRNA". It matches the Rfam family "Eukaryotic small subunit ribosomal RNA", at positions 453 to 923 of the family's 1831-position model. The record is from RNAcentral. Lineage: Eukaryota; Apicomplexa; Aconoidasida; Piroplasmida; Babesiidae.